Molecule: ribosomal RNA, 448 nt
Filed under: uncultured bacterium
Lineage: Bacteria
Description: partial 16S ribosomal RNA
Rfam family: Bacterial small subunit ribosomal RNA
Source: RNAcentral
CCUACGGGUGGCAGCAGUGGGGAAUUUUGGACAAUGGGCGCAAGCCUGAUCCAGCCAUUCCGCGUGAGUGAAGAAGGCCUUCGGGUUGUAAAGCUCUUUCGCAAGGGAAGAAAACUUAUCCUCUAACAUAGGAUGAGGUUGACGGUACCUUGAUAAGAAGCACCGGCUAACUACGUGCCAGCAGCCGCGGUAAUACGUAGGGUGCGAGCGUUAAUCGGAAUUAGCAGGCGGAAUGGUAAGGCAGGCGGUUAAUCCCCGGGCUCAACUUGGGAACUGCGUUUGAAACUACAAGACUAGAAUAGGUCAGAGGGGGGUAGAAUUCCACGUGUAGCAGUGAAAUGCGUAGAGAUGUGGAGGAAUAUCAAUGGCGAAGGCAGCCCCCUGGGAUCAUAUUGACGCUCAUGCACGAAAGCGUGGGGAGCAAACAGGAUUAGAUACCCUAGUAGUC